UCCAGACUCCUACGGGAGGCAGCAGUGGGGGAUAUUGCACAAUGGGGGGAACCCUGAUGCAGCGACGCCGCGUGGGUGAAGGAGCGUUUCGGCGCGUAAAGCCCUCUCGGCAGGGAAGAAGGAGGACGGUACCUGACUAAGAAGCCCCGGCUAGCUACGUGCCAGCAGCCGCGGUAAUACGUAGGGGGCAAGCGUUAUCCGGAUUUACUGGGUGUAAAGGGGGCGCAGACGGCAGCGCAAGCCAGGAGUGAAAGCCCGGGGCCCAACCCCGGGACUGCUCUUGGAACUGCGCGGCUGGAGUGCAGGAGGGGCAGGCGGAAUUCCUGGUGUAGCGGUGAAAUGCGUAGAUAUCAGGAGGAACACCGGUGGCGAAGGCGGCCUGCUGGACUGCGACUGACGUUGAGGCCCGAAAGCGUGGGGAGCAAACAGGAUUAGAUACCCUCGUA
RNAcentral lists this ribosomal RNA (446 nucleotides) under uncultured bacterium. RNAcentral describes it as "partial 16S ribosomal RNA". It matches the Rfam family "Bacterial small subunit ribosomal RNA", at positions 330 to 792 of the family's 1533-position model. The record is from RNAcentral.